GUUUUAGCUUUCAGCAGUGAGAGCUCUUUAUGGCUCAGAAGCUUUACUAAGGAUAUUUUAUAUCUGUCUAUAGACAUCUAGAUAGAUACCUAGAUAUACACAUAUAUAGUCUAUAUGUUAUUUUCUUUAAACCCAAGCAAGGCUUAUGUGAAACAUUGGGAUUCUUUUUACUUGAAUUAAAAAAGAAAAAAAAAGUAACAUGCAGUCACUAUAUGUGGUGAGCCAAGACUAACUGAUGUUAAAAGGUAUCGACAACAACUUGAAAAAGAGCCUUCUUCAUCUCUCCUCCUCUCAUUAUGCAACCCAGUCUACCUGAAACUUGCAGCAGUCCUUCUGCCUCUGUUUCCUGAGUUUUGGGAUAACAGGUGUGCACUACCACACCCUGCAAAGUAAGAACUCUUAAGGACAUGUCCAUUUGCUUCUAUUGGUGUUGCAAGGUGUGACACAUGUAUAGCUUUUCUUUGGUGUUCUUUUGAAACACAGUUGCACAUUUAUAUGUUUUGCUGCAUGCACCGCUCAGAAGACUGCAGAGUAGUCUCUUUCUUUAAGUAUAUAUUUUCCCUUGUAUUGAUACUUUCUAGAUCAGGUGUAUAUGCCAGAGGAGAUUAUGACUCUGGUGUCUCUGAGAGAUCUAAUCUUGUGUUCCGUGAAGUCAACUAUUUAUCAGAUCAUGAAACCAAAUUCUAGAAUAUACAUUUUAUCUAAUUAUGAAUUUUGGAUCAAAGAGACAAUGUAAAUAGUUUACUUUUGCCCUUAGAAUAACAUCACUUUGAGGCAGGCCACACAGACAAGACACAGUGAGGGUCUUACCUUGUGUAGCACUAGCUUUCUUUUGUUCUUGAUUUGCCCUGGUGUGAGAAUUUGCCUUACGCAUCCCCUAGUGCAUUUGUGUGCACAUGAGCACUUUCUGCUUGCUUCUUGAAGGUGGGAUUGCUCGCUUCCCUUUUUGUGAUCUGGUUGCUUACCCCUUAUGGUAAGCAUGGUGAUACUGUCUGGGCAAAUAACACCGGAAGGCAGAAAGGCCUUGCUAACAGAAAGGGGAAGGGAAAAGGAAGCACUUGGUAGUUUGUGAGGCGUAAGCUGCUUUGAUAACGAUUCCAGAGCCCUACCAGGGCAGUGAUGAGAAACUGGUAAAUAACUAUGUUACUUCAUGGGUUCUAGUGAGAAGGAACAGUUUAGCCCCUUAGUAUCUUAUUCCUUCUAUCCCUUCCUUCUGUUUAGUUAAAGUAGGAAUGACUCCUGUGUAGUGCUUAGCAGUUUGAGAAGUUUGCAAAGUAAACAAACAUGUCCUCUGCCCAGGGUUCAGGAACCAGAUAUAGUAAGGUUGAGUUAUUUGGCUGGUAUAUUACAAGAACUUUCUUGCUUCUAGUAACAGAAGCUCAAGUCAACAUGAUUGAAGCAAAAGAAAUUCUUUGGCUUAUGUAGCUAGCCAGUUUGAGGAUGUGGCGGGUCUCAGGUGUGGAUGAAAUGUGCAGUCUUCUCUCCUUGGCAUCAUUGGCAGUGCACAGACUAAGCUUGUUGGCUCUAGCAGUUGUCGCUUUGUACUUGUUUUUUUUUUUGUUUGUUUGUUUGUUUGUUUUUGUUUUUGUUUUUGUUUUCUUCCCCACCAACAUUUCCUAUCCCUAGAAGUGCCAGCCUGAGGCAUGGAUAGGAUUUUCAGGUCCAUUCUUGAGCCAAACUUUGUUCACUGUGGUCUAGGGACCAUAGUCUCUUUUAUCAGCUAUGCUCAGCCAUGUGCCACCCCUGAAGCAGGGCUUGGGUGUUUACUGUUACAUUGAUUGUUAUCCUGGGAGCAACUUGGGAGAAUGCCUUAGCUUUGGAGUUUUCUCAUAGCUGGAAACAAUGUUGUGGAGAAGUAGACUUGAUAGUGCCAUUUGUAGAUUUUUUUCUGUGUUCCCAACAUCAUAUUAGACUCCUGACUUCUGAGCGGGAAGAUUUUCUUUCAUUUACCCUUCCCAGCCGUGUUUCUCCCCUCUGAUCACAUUCCUUUCGGUUUCUUGGUGAAAAUUUGUUUUUCAUCUAAUCUCUGUCUUUUCUGCUUAUGUUCUGCUAUGAAGUGAGUUGGAGAGCACCCCCCCCCCUUGGGUUGAAGCAUAACUACCAUUCUCUUCUUUCAAAGACAGUCCUACUGCAGAGCUUAAUAUAUCAGAUUAACAAGAACUCCAAAUUUCCUAGUGUAGCUAAGAAGCCUGUCUCUAAAGAGCAGAGUGGGAGUAUACUGUCUCAGGUUCAGUUGAGUGUCUCUGGAAGCACGAGAAGCCUGGACAGUGGAAUGUGGGUUUAGAGACUUUCUAUACACACUCCUGCGAGGGCUGUGGGAAUGGAGGCAGGAGGGAAGUCAAAUGCUCUGGUUUUCAUUCUGUCACCAGAACU
RNAcentral lists this long non-coding RNA (2373 nucleotides) under Mus musculus (house mouse). Its description in RNAcentral is "long non-coding RNA chr2:92252965-92255338". The record is from RNAcentral. Lineage: Eukaryota; Metazoa; Chordata; Mammalia; Rodentia; Muridae.